GUCGAACGGAAUGAACUUAAGCUUGCUUAUACUUCAUUUAGUGGCGGACAGGUGAGUAACGCGUGGGUAACCUGCCAUGUACAGGGGGACAACAGUUGGAAACGACUGCUAAUACCGCAUAAGCGCACAGCUUCGCAUGAAGCAGUGUGAAAAACUCCGGUGGUACAUGAUGGACCCGCGUCUGAUUAGAUAGUUGGUGAGGUAACGGCUCACCAAGUCGACGAUCAGUAGCCGGCCUGAGAGGGUGAACGGCCACAUUGGGACUGAGACACGGCCCAAACUCCUACGGGAGGCAGCAGUGGGGAAUAUUGGACAAUGAGGGAAACCCUGAUCCAGCGACGCCGCGUGAGUGAAGAAGUAUUUCGGUAUGUAAAGCUCUAUCAGCAGGGAAGAUAAUGACGGUACCUGACUAAGAAGCACCGGCUAAAUACGUGCCAGCAGCCGCGGUAAUACGUAUGGUGCAAGCGUUAUCCGGAUUUACUGGGUGUAAAGGGAGCGUAGACGGCAUGGCAAGUCUGAUGUGAAAGCCCGGGGCUCAACCCCGGGACUGCAUUGGAAACUGCUAAGCUAGAGUGCAGGAGAGGUAAGUGGAAUUCCUAGUGUAGCGGUGAAGUGCG
This 617-nucleotide ribosomal RNA is filed under the name uncultured bacterium. RNAcentral describes it as "bacterial SSU rRNA". It matches the Rfam family "Bacterial small subunit ribosomal RNA", at positions 61 to 690 of the family's 1533-position model. The record is from RNAcentral.